RNAcentral lists this ribosomal RNA (660 nucleotides) under uncultured bacterium. RNAcentral describes it as "bacterial SSU rRNA". It matches the Rfam family "Bacterial small subunit ribosomal RNA", at positions 94 to 788 of the family's 1533-position model. The record is from RNAcentral.
AGUGGCGGACGGGUGAGUAACGCGUGAGAAUCUGCCUUGGGGUCGGGGACAACCACUGGAAACGGUGGCUAAUACCGGCUAAGCCGAUUGGUGAAAGAUUUAUUGCCCGAAGAGGAGCUCGCGUCUGAUUAGCUAGUUGGUGAGGUAAGAGCUCACCAAGGCAGCGAUCAGUAGCUGGUCUGAGAGGACGAUCAGCCACACUGGGACUGAGACACGGCCCAGACUCCUACGGGAGGCAGCAGUGGGGAAUUUUCCGCAAUGGGCGAAAGCCUGACGGAGCAAGACCGCGUGAGGGAGGAAGGCUCUUGGGUUGUAAACCUCUUUUCUCAGGGAAGAAGCUCUGACGGUACCUGAGGAAUCAGCCUCGGCUAACUCCGUGCCAGCAGCCGCGGUAAUACGGAGGAGGCAAGCGUUAUCCGGAAUUAUUGGGCGUAAAGCGUCCGCAGGUGGCGAUUCAAGUCUGCUGUCAAAGCACGGGGCUUAACUCCGUAAAGGCAGUGGAAACUGAAUAGCUAGAGUGCCGUAGGGGUAGAGGGAAUUCCCGGUGUAGCGGUGAAAUGCGUAGAGAUCGGGAAGAACAUCGGUGGCGAAAGCGCUCUACUGGACGGCAACUGACACUCAGGGACGAAAGCUAGGGGAGCGAAUGGGAUUAGAUACCCC